RNAcentral lists this ribosomal RNA (483 nucleotides) under uncultured bacterium. Its description in RNAcentral is "partial 16S ribosomal RNA". It matches the Rfam family "Bacterial small subunit ribosomal RNA", at positions 30 to 507 of the family's 1533-position model. The record is from RNAcentral.
AUUGAACGCUGGCGGCAGGCCUAACACAUGCAAGUCGAGCGGAUGAAGGGAGCUUGCUCCUGGAUUCAGCGGCGGACGGGUGAGUAAUGCCUAGGAAUCUGCCUGGUAGUGGGGGAUAACGUCCGGAAACGGGCGCUAAUACCGCAUACGUCCUGAGGAGGAAGUUGGGGGAUCUUGGGCCCCCCGCCUAUCAAUUAGGCUAGGUCGGAUUAGCUAGUUGGUGGGGUAAAGGCCUACCAAGGCGACGAUCCGUAACUGGUCUGAGAGGAUGAUCAGUCACACUGGAACUGAGACACGGUCCAGACUCCUACGGGAGGCAGCAGUGGGGAAUAUUGGACAAUGGGCGAAAGCCUGAUCCAGCCAUGCCGCGUGUGUGAAGAAGGUCUUCGGAUUGUAAAGCACUUUAAGUUGGGAGGAAGGGCAGUAAGUUAAUACCUUGCUGUUUUGACGUUACCAACAGAAUAAGCACCGGCUAACUUCGUG